AACGAACGCUGGCGGCAUGCCUAACACAUGCAAGUCGAACGAUCCCUUCGGGGAUAGUGGCGCACGGGUGCGUAACGCGUGGGAACCUGCCCUUAGGUUCGGAAUAACUCAGAGAAAUUUGAGCUAAUACCGGAUAAUGUCUUCGGACCAAAGAUUUAUCGCCUUUGGAUGGGCCCGCGUUGGAUUAGCUAGUUGGUGGGGUAAAGGCCUACCAAGGCGACGAUCCAUAGCUGGUCUGAGAGGAUGAUCAGCCACACUGGGACUGAGACACGGCCCAGACUCCUACGGGAGGCAGCAGUGGGGAAUAUUGGACAAUGGGCGAAAGCCUGAUCCAGCAAUGCCGCGUGAGUGAUGAAGGCCUUAGGGUUGUAAAGCUCUUUUACCCGGGAUGAUAAUGACAGUACCGGGAGAAUAAGCCCCGGCCAACUCCGUG
RNAcentral lists this ribosomal RNA (433 nucleotides) under uncultured bacterium. Its description in RNAcentral is "partial 16S ribosomal RNA". It matches the Rfam family "Bacterial small subunit ribosomal RNA", at positions 29 to 507 of the family's 1533-position model. The record is from RNAcentral.